Molecule: ribosomal RNA, 301 nt
Filed under: uncultured bacterium
Lineage: Bacteria
Description: partial 16S ribosomal RNA
Rfam family: Bacterial small subunit ribosomal RNA
Source: RNAcentral
CAGCAGCCGCGGGAAAACGGAGGGAGCUAGCGUUGUUCGGAAUUACUGGGCGUAAAGCGCACGUAGGCGGCUUUGUAAGUUAGAGGUGAAAGCCUGGAGCUCAACUCCAGAAUUGCCUUUAAGACUGCAUCGCUUGAAUCCGGGAGAGGUGAGUGGAAUUCCGAGUGUAGAGGUGAAAUUCGUAGAUAUUCGGAAGAACACCAGUGGCGAAGGCGGCUCACUGGACCGGCAUUGACGCUGAGGUGCGAAAGCGUGGGGAGCAAACAGGAUUAGAUACCCCUGUAGUCCCUGUCUCUUAUAC